CCUUCGAUAGCUCAGUUGGUAGAGCGGUGGACUGUAGAUGGUGUUGCGGUGCUUGUGCAACUUGGAAGCGGAGAUAUCCAUAGGUCGCUGGUUCAAAUCCGGCUCGAAGGA
This is a non-coding RNA of Drosophila persimilis, 111 nucleotides long. Lineage: Eukaryota; Metazoa; Arthropoda; Insecta; Diptera; Drosophilidae. The record is from Rfam.